This 497-nucleotide ribosomal RNA is filed under the name uncultured bacterium. RNAcentral's name for it is "partial 16S ribosomal RNA". It matches the Rfam family "Bacterial small subunit ribosomal RNA", at positions 28 to 507 of the family's 1533-position model. The record is from RNAcentral.
GAUGAACGCUGGCGGCGUGCCUAAUACAUGCAAGUCGAGCGAACAGACGAGGAGCUUGCUCCUCUGACGUUAGCGGCGGACGGGUGAGUAACACGUGGAUAACCUACCUAUAAGACUGGGAUAACUUCGGGAAACCGGAGCUAAUACCGGAUAAUAUAUUGAACCGCAUGGUUCAAUAGUGAAAGACGGUUUUGCUGUCACUUAUAGAUGGAUCCGCGCCGCAUUAGCUAGUUGGUAAGGUAACGGCUUACCAAGGCAACGAUGCGUAGCCGACCUGAGAGGGUGAUCGGCCACACUGCAACGGAGACACGGUCCAGACUCCUACGGGAGGCAGCAGUAGGGAAUCUUCCGCAAUGGGCGAAAGCCUGACGGAGCAACGUCUCGUGAGUGAUGAAGGUCUUCGGAUCGUAAAACUCUGUUAUUAGGGAAGAACAAAUGUGUAAGUAACUAUGCACGUCUUGACGGUACCUAAUCAGAAAGCCACGGCUAACUACGUG